AAAAAGACAAACUCUGAGUUUCCGUGUCCAACUUUAACUGUCCGUCUUAUAUGAAAUUUUUUUAUAAUUCGUAUUUUCAUUGUUAUUAGAUGAUAAAACAUGAUUAAUAUUUUAUGCGUGACUUGUCUUUUUAAUUUUUUUCAUAAUUUUUUCAAAUAAGACGGACGGUCAAACGUUGGGUAUGGAACCAGGGUUUGUCUUUUU
Molecule: microRNA precursor, 204 nt
Organism: Oryza sativa Japonica Group (Japanese rice)
Lineage: Eukaryota; Viridiplantae; Streptophyta; Magnoliopsida; Poales; Poaceae
Rfam family: MIR812 microRNA precursor family
Source: Rfam